UACGAAGGGGGCUAGCGUUGCUCGGAAUCACUGGGCGUAAAGGGUGCGUAGGCGGGUCUUUAAGUCAGAGGGGAAAUGCCAAGGCUCAACCUUGGAACUGCCUUUGAUACUGGAGAUCUUGAGUCCGGGAGAGGUGAGUGGAAUUGCGAGUGUAGAGGUGAAAUUCGUAGAUAUUCGCAAGAACACCAGUGGCGAAGGCGGCUCACUGGCCCGGAACUGACGCUGAGACGCGAAAGCGUGGGGAGCAAACAGG
RNAcentral lists this ribosomal RNA (253 nucleotides) under uncultured bacterium. Its description in RNAcentral is "partial 16S ribosomal RNA". It matches the Rfam family "Bacterial small subunit ribosomal RNA", at positions 524 to 776 of the family's 1533-position model. The record is from RNAcentral.